UUUUACACGUCGACGCUCGUUUAACUCGGAUACCUUAAAAACGGGCGAACGCGGACCACAUUUUUCGAUCGGAUAUCAUAGUUGACAUCUUGCUACAGCAGAUCUCUCAAUAACCAUCGAAACUUUUUCUCUACCGUUGUAUUAUAAUUGCAAUAAUAAUUUCGGACGAUCGACAGCGCGAGAAGUUUUUUCGUCCUUCGGGGUCUCGGGUUUAAGGAAGGCGGGGUAUAUCGGCUCGCAGGAGCACAGAGAAAGAAACCAAGAUGCCGGGGAACGGAAUCGAUUUGCUCGUCAAACUCUCUGCUUUCGAACCCGCUACUGAAACGAUGGAGAACGCGAACGUAUAUUCUCGGUGGCGAACUAUCGUCUCGACGUUCACGAAAACCGUUCGACGGAAGCUUUCCCCUUCCAGGGAUUUUACUUCGAACUAAUUCAGCGAGCCACCGGCGUUCUCAUUCGUUGUAUCGCCGUUUACCCCCUCCACGGUGUACAUGAAAUAUUAUUCGAACGAAUGGACCGCGGAUUUUUAUGGAAAAUAAACAGUUUCUGCGUUUGUUACGAAA
This is a long non-coding RNA of Megalopta genalis, 563 nucleotides long. RefSeq lists it as uncharacterized. Lineage: Eukaryota; Metazoa; Arthropoda; Insecta; Hymenoptera; Halictidae. The record is from RefSeq and is a predicted model, not a curated record.